RNAcentral lists this ribosomal RNA (474 nucleotides) under uncultured bacterium. RNAcentral's name for it is "bacterial SSU rRNA". It matches the Rfam family "Bacterial small subunit ribosomal RNA", at positions 55 to 527 of the family's 1533-position model. The record is from RNAcentral.
AUGCAGUCGAGGGGUAACGAUGUCUUCGGACAGGCGACGACCGGCGCACGGGUGAGUAUCGCGUUUGUAACCUACCUUUAACUGGAGAAUAGCCCGAAGAAAUUCGGAUUAAUACUCCAUAACACUAUGAACUGGCAUCUUUUUAUAGUUAAAGCUCCGGCGGUUAAAGAUGGGCAUGCGUAACAUUAGAUAGUUGGUGAGGUAACGGCUCACCAAGUCUACGAUGUUUAGGGGGUCUGAGAGGAUGGUCCCCCACACUGGUACUGAGACACGGACCAGACUCCUACGGGAGGCAGCAGUGAGGAAUAUUGGUCAAUGGGCGCAAGCCUGAACCAGCCAUGCCGCGUGAAGGAUGACAGCGCUACGCGUUGUAAACUUCUUUUGUACAGGAAGAAACGCUUCUACGUGUAGAAGUCUGACGGUACUGUACGAAUAAGCACCGGCUAACUCCGUGCCAGCAGCCGCGGUAAUACG